CUUUGUAUUUAGUAUAUUAAGGAAAAAUUUUUGGUUGUAAUAGUAUAAUAUUACUGUUAAGGAAUGAUGAAAUAUUUAAAUUAUUUUUGUUAAGUAUAUUUUAUUUGUAGUACCUUUUGUAUCAGGGUUAAUUAAAUAAAUGAAUAUUUAUUAUAUUUAUCUCGAUUUUAGAAGAUCUAGUUUAUUAUUUUAUUUAAUGUUUCAUAAUUAUUAAUAAUAAAAACUAGAGGAGAAAUUCUAUUCGUUUCUAAAGGUAUCUAGUUUUUUAAGAAAUAAAUUUAAUUUAAUCCUAUUAUUUAAUUAUUAUAAUUAUUUAUAUAUUAUUUGAUAGGUUAAAAGUUAUAGGGGAUAAGCUCUAUAUCUAUUCUAUAAAUUMGUUAUAUAAUAAAUUUUUGUAGGUUUAAGAAUAACCAUCAUUAAAGAGUAUGUUAUAAUUUAUAUUUAUUUUUAUUCRAUUUUCUCAUUUUUAGUAUAAUAUUAAAAUAUCAAAAUUAACUUUUUAUUUUGAGGAAUAAUGAUUGAAUUAGUAUAAAAUAAUGUUUAUUUAAAAUUGAAUUAUAUGAUAAAAUAAGGACCUCGGCAAUUAUAAUUCUCGCCUGUUUAACAAAAACAUGUCCUUUUGUGAUUUAUUGAAGGUCUGACCUGCCCAGUGAUAAUUUUAACGGCCGCGGUAUAUUGACCGUGCAAAGGUAGCAUAAUCAUUAGUCUUUUAAUAGAGGGCUGGAAUGAAGGGUUUGACGAGGAAUUUACUGUCUCAUUUUAUUUGUUUUAAAAUUUAAUUUUUUAGUCAAAAAGCUAAAAUAUUAUUGGAAGACGAGAAGACCCUAUAGAGCUUUAUAUUAUGAUAUUAAAUAUUUUUAUAUUAAUGUAUUUAAGAUUUUGUUUUAUUGUGUUGGGGUGACAAAAAUAUAUAUAUAACUUUUUUAUUUAUUAACCAUUGAUUUAUGAUUAUUAGAUCCAUUAUUAUUGAUUACUAGAUUAAGUUACCUUAGGGAUAACAGCGUAAUUUCCCUCCAGAGUUCAUAUUUACAGGAUGAGUUUGCGACCUCGAUGUUGGAUUAAGAUAAUAAUUAGGUGUAGCCGCUUAAUUUAUGGGUCUGUUCGACCUUUAAAUUCUUACAU
Molecule: ribosomal RNA, 1122 nt
Filed under: Onychothemis testacea
Lineage: Eukaryota; Metazoa; Arthropoda; Insecta; Odonata; Libellulidae
Description: partial 16S ribosomal RNA
Source: RNAcentral